Molecule: long non-coding RNA, 2025 nt
Filed under: Elaeis guineensis (African oil palm)
Lineage: Eukaryota; Viridiplantae; Streptophyta; Magnoliopsida; Arecales; Arecaceae
Description: long non-coding RNA (EGUI_LNC060490)
Source: RNAcentral
UCAAAUUUGUGCUAGGACAACCUUUGCAAUAUAGGGAUAAAUCCUAUACCAGAAUAAUCUUAUAUCAGCAUAAAAUUAAUUUUAAAUUUUUAAAAAUUUCAGAUCUAAUCUAAAAAUCAGAUCAUAUAUGUUUUCAAAAAUCUGUGGCUCUGAUACAAUUGUUAGAAAAUCGGAUAGGCAGCAUAUGUAGAUUUCAAACUUUGAAAAUCGUAGUGGAAAAUAAAUGGAUUAAAUGCUUUAACCCCCAUAUGAAAUAGAUCAAAUCUAAUCCUAUCCAAGCUUAGGAGAAAACACAUACAAUCUAAAAUUUAGAUAUAAAUAUGAGAUAAGAUCUCUUUACCUUAGCGUGGGUAGAUGUUCACUGCUUCUAAUGAUUACGAAUUCGUAGAUGCUCGAGCCACACACAGGUCCGGUCUCUACGAGUAUCCAUCGGGAUUGAUCUCGAACUAAUUUUUUUUAUAGAAGAUUUUUUUUCUCAAGAAGAAUCUUAGUCUUGAACACUUUGAUCAAUAUCUUGAUCUGGACUGCAGGAUCAACUCCUUGAUCAAUAGCUUUCUUUUCCUUCUCCUUAAUCUUCAAUUUCUAAGUCACCAAGCACUACCUCUUGACAUGUAGAAGAGGAGACGCCCAACUCUUGGGUAUGGAAAGGAAGAGAGGGAGGAGAGGAGGUAUGGAGAAGGGAGAGAAAUUUUGUUGACCAAAAAUUCUAUUCACUAGAAAUCCUAGAGACCUCUCUUUAUAUAGAUACUACCCUGACACAUAUUAGGAACUCAAUUAUCUUAAAAAGAUAGAUCUUUAUCUCAUAAAAAUCUUCUACCUUUUUAAUCUAAUUUAUACUAAUUAAAAUUAGAUAUAAAUGAUAUAUAAUCAGCCCCUUUAAGCAUGUACAAGAGGCAUCAUAGGAAUACAUAUCAGAUAGUUGGGGUGCCAACUCUUGGUGCAGUGCCCCACAAUAAGAUUUCUAACCAAAUAAGAAAGGUGCAUGGCCCCACCUCUCUCUCCUCCAUGCCACACAUAAGAAGGGGGCGAGCCCCACUUGCCAAAUCUAGGGGGUUGGCACCCCCCUAGUCUUGCCAAAAAGAGAAUUUUGCGCCUCCCUCUUUCCUUCAAUUCUACGUGCACACUUAGAGAUAAUUAGAAGUAAAGAAGAGAUAAUGUUAAAAUAAUUAUAUCAACUAAUUGACUUAAUCAAAUUCUCUUGAGCCCAUAAUUAAGAGCCCAAUUAAACCAAAAUAGAUUUAGGUUAGAUUCAAGGCUAUAGAUUCGAUCAAAUCGAAGUUCCAGAAAGAAUUAGGUUUAACCGUGUGCUAGCAUGAUUCUCAUAAACCUAAUAGGAUUUAAUAAAUCUGAACCUAAUUAGAACUUCAUAAGCCUAAUUGACAAAUUCGAGAUUAAAUCCCUUAAUAUGUGACCCUAUAGGUUCCAUUCUAUCUGGUAGUGAGAUAUAUUAUGAUCUCCAUCACAAUAUUAUCAAAACUUUUUGAGAUGAAUUGAAAUAUUUCUAAUUCUAUCCUUCGAGGACUAUCGAUCAUCAAGAUGAUGUCCAAUAAGUCUCAUAAUCUACCAAUGACACCUAGUAGUAUGUAGUGACAAUCCAGUAAAAUGAAAAUACGAAUCUUUAGAUACAGUUAUCGUAUGAUUCAGUCCUUCUAUCGUGAGUUCCGACUUGAUGGAGGUCAUGGAGAACUCGUUAGACCCUAUCAUCAAUCAUAUGCUAGAUUGGCUCGAUUCGAGUUCAUUUGUGAAUCCCGUAGAAACUCUUUUUCAGUAUUCAUACUUGCUUUGACUAAAGAUUUUCUGAACUCAAUCUUGCAAAUCACAUAGGACUUCUUCUUUUCUACCAAGAUCGAUAGAUUCUAUCUAGGUGCAUCCUACUCUAAACUGCAAUCUGAAUCUACUGAAGCUAACAUACACAGCAAGGAUCCAAAUGGCUAUGGACCAAAAGAAUAUACAGUCAAACCAAGUAGCCUCGCUGUGAAUAGCCAAUGGUACCGUAGGUCAAAGGACCACUCACACCACUGCAGC